Mandrillus leucophaeus (drill) is the source of this 1477-nucleotide RNA transcript. It is a transcript of the gene named putative T-cell leukemia/lymphoma protein 6, with no coding region annotated. The record is from RefSeq and is a predicted model, not a curated record. The transcript has 2 exons. Lineage: Eukaryota; Metazoa; Chordata; Mammalia; Primates; Cercopithecidae.
CUUGCCCUGGUGCCUAGGGUCAGCUAGACAGUUCGGCAGGGGACCAGCUGCUCUAGAAGAGCCUGCACAGGAUGAAUUGGUUCUCCUUCCAUGUGCAUCUUGCAUCCCUCCAGCCAAGGAUUUGAACCAAGGUCUCAUCUGACUCCAAAUGCACCAAGAGGAUGGAGCCCAGAGUGACACAGAGGAAGAGGUCCCUGGAUGGAUGCAUGGGGAAGAUCAUGGAAAUUACAAGUGACAUCCUGAAGUAUGACCACAAGUGUUUCAAAUUAAGCCUUCCUGCUAAGUUUCCAGAGGUGUGUGGCUUGCACGAAGUGUUUCCAGAGUGGACCCUGGUCUACUGAGUGUCCUGCCUGUUGCUGGUUCUUUGCAGCAGUCCGUUGACCAACGCUGUCUACCGCUUGAGAGCCUCUGCAGGCCAGGGCUGCUCUUUGCACCAUCCUAUGUUACUAUUCAAUCUGCAUAGCAGCCUGAAAAACAGGCCUUCUUUCCUCUCAUUUACACAUAUGUGAAGAAGACACAGCAAGUGAGAAAACGUGACCGAAAGCCAUGUGGACACGUGGCCGCAGGGCCAAACCCGACUUCCAUGAUGUGAUCUGGCUACAGUUUGGAGCCCACAUAUUUCAAUAGUUAUCCCCAGGCCUGACACAUCAAAGAGGCUCCAGAAAUGUUUGCUGAAUGAGUGAUGAAUCAGCAAUUUCUGAUUUUCUCCUAAAUUCAGAGAAUAAGUGGCUUGUCUGUAGUCAACCAGGGCGUCCCUGACAGAGGUACAAGUAGAGCCCAGAUCUCUGCAUCUGUGGUUCAAGGCCUUUUGUACUACACACCACUGUCUCUUUGUCAUCAUUAAAAACAGGGCUCAAGGGACAUGUUUUCUAACCUCAGUUCCCCAUCUACAAAAUGGGCCUUACGGAAUGGAAUGUCUCUGCUUCACUCCAGCAUCAACAAGCGGGGAAUUCCAAUGGCUUCAAUUCGACUUCUUUCCAUGGGCGUGUUCUAAGCAGCCUCUUUGUUCCAGAAGCUGCCCUCAGCCAGAGUUGGAUGAGCAAUCCUCACUCUCCAGCCUCCUUUGGAUAGGGAUGAAGACCCCACUGGGUUCGGAAGUGCAGAGGCAGACAGGUGUAUGGAGUCACCUGUAAAUUGAUUCAAGUGAGCCAGGAAAACAGCGAAGAAAAGAGAAACCUGAGUGACGAUGUAGUGGAGGAAUAGGGUUGGAAAGAGGCUGCUGGCUGUCUGGCUUCGCAGCUCUGGCUUCCCAAUCAGCCUCGCUCUUGUCUCUGGUGUUCUCUGGCUCUUGUCCCCCUGUCUGUAUUUCUCUUUGCCAGCUGUUGACUAAUCUUUGCUGGAGCUGAGCUAGAAUUCUGGUGUUUAUAAGCCCGUAACUAGCUAAGCACUAGUUGAUAACUUUGGAGUUAGUGGAUAACCACAGGGCUGGGCUACUAAGCUUUUUCAGUUGAAAAAUAAAUAAAUAAAUAAAUAAACA